RNAcentral lists this long non-coding RNA (5184 nucleotides) under Sus scrofa (pig). Its description in RNAcentral is "lncRNA (ENSSSCG00000049519.2)". Lineage: Eukaryota; Metazoa; Chordata; Mammalia; Artiodactyla; Suidae. The record is from RNAcentral.
UGAUUUUCCACGGAGGGACAUUGGGCAAUGCUAGGGGACAGUUUUGAUUGACAUGUCUUGCGAGGUGCUUCUAGCAUCCAGUGUGUAAAAACCAAGGAUGUUGCUAAGCAUCCCACAAUGCACAGGAUAGCCCUUGCAACAAGGAAUUCUCCAACCCAGAUGUCAAUAGUGCUGAGGUUGAGAAACCUUGAGUUAAGAGUUGGCUCAAAUUUUCCAAGGCAUUCUUCAUGUAAAGAAGGACUUCUGAGUCAAGAGAUAGAAAGAAAUGAACAGUGAUACUUGGCACCACCUGAAAUCUGUAUAGGGUUUAUUUGUUAUCCAUUUCUACAGAUGUUAAUGAUGAGACUUAGAGAGAAAGGUGUCAUUUUUCCAGGGUUCCCGUUGUGACGAGGCAGGCCUAUAGUUUAGGACUCUGUCUUCCACGUAAGUCUUUUUCUGCCUCAGAAAAUUGAUACUUCAGUGAUGUCACCAACCUUAUACCAGCUAAAUGUGUUUGUUGUGAGGCCUUUGGGAGCAGUUUCAGUUCGUGUGAUCCCAAUAAGGACGUUCUCCAGCUGAUCAGUCACAGACAACAAGGUGCUCUCAGAAACGAAGCGGGAAAGGAGAGCAAGAGUGCUUACAAUGGGCCAACCAUAUCAUCAUCUUUAGUUACUCUUUGUGCACUUUGUCCCUUUGGGCUGCAUAUUCCCCACUAAAGAUGAUACUUAGAUAUUGAAAACUAUGGUCUUCAGACUCACACAGAUGGCCCCCACACCUUGCUUUCAGAGAUGGGACAAGUCUAGGCACAGGCCUUGUCUCCGGAGCCUUGGUAUUUCAUUUGUAGGUGCUGAAAUGUCUUAUUAGAAGACAGGACAUGUUUUCGUUUAAAUAAUUUGGCAUUUUUCUUUUAAUCUAUCAUACCAACAUCCCGAUGCUAUAAUAUAAGUCUGCUCAUUCUACUUAUAUUUUGUACAAGAGCAACUGAGUAUCAGAGGGUUUAAGUCAGACAUUCUUAUGCAUUUGCUCAUGCAUUCAUUCAGCAGGUAUUUGUUCAGUGCAUACCAUGCAUAGGUUUUAAUCCACUAGGGAAUCGAACUUGGGAUGUAGAACUUGAAUUCAUGUCACCCAAACCCUAGGUUAACAUUAUUUAUUUUUUUCCCUUUAAUUUAUUAUUUUUGUAAUGAGUUUUAUUUUUUCCAUGAUAGCUGGUUUACAGUGUUCUGUCAAUUUUCUUCUGUACAGCAGGGUGAGCCAGUUACACAUGCAUGUAUACAUUCUUUGUUUCUCACAUUAUCGUGCUCCAUCAUAAGUGACUAGUUAUAGUUCCCAGUGCUAUACAGCAGGAUCUCAUUGCUUAUCCAUUUCAAAGGCAGUCUGUGUGUAGCUCUGAUCAAUACUCUAGAUUUAUGGUUUAAAUAUUAAACUAUGAAUAAUGUAUAAUGAGAAUUUGUUGCUAUGUGCCAGAAAGUCUACUAAGUGCUUUAUAUGCCUUAUCUGAUUUAGUCCCAUCAUAACCCAGUGAGGUCAGACCCCGUUCCUAUCCUCUUUUUUAUGGAUGAGGUCAGCGAGGCUUAGAGAGGCAAGGUAGCACAUAGCUUGGCAAUGGCAGAGACAGAUUUUCAUCUGGGUCUAUCAGACUCCAAAGACUGACAACUUCACCUCAUGAUAUAAGCUCUUCUCUCUGUUUUCUGGAUCUCAGCUCUAUCGUCUCCUCUACUCUUAGCAAAAUGUGUCCAGGAUGCUUCCAGCCUGACAUCCUUCUGGAAAGUCGCUAGCUCUUUUGAGUGGCAAGUUCCAUUAGACAUGCAGAUAGAGGAAAGCAGAUUUGGGGGUGGGGUAUCACAGACUGUACCUUAUAGUAAAAGCCCCAUCUAACGAAGUUGUAGAGACCGUACCCUGUGAAACCAAAGUGUUAAGAUCGCUUCCAUGUCAGAGGUUGUAGCUGCUGGCUGUGCUGUUUACAGGUGACCAGGGCAAACUUCAUGAGAAAUAAAAUAAUGUGUGAAUCGUGUGUGUGUGUGUGUGUGUGUACAUGCAUGUAUCUGCCAUUUUCAACUUUGACUUUUUAAACUAUCUCAGUUUUUGUUCGUGACAGGUCAGGAAUUCAAAUAUGAUUGACUGCCCCUAGCAUCUCAUCAUUAUUGUUCUAAGUUGGAAAAAAGAGAAGCAGCUAGAGAAAAGAAACUGGACUGGAUAUGUGAGUGUGUGUGUGUGUGUGUGUGUGAGGAGUGUGUAUAUUCAUGUGCUGUAUAUAUGUGUUUAUGUGUAAAUAAUGUGUAUAUAUGUAUAUAUGUGUGUACAUCUAUCUAAAUCUAUAUAUCUAUAUCUAUACAUUUGUAUGCACACAUAAACAAAUCUUAGUUUGAAACUGGGAUUUUGAGUUCGAGGGACUUCUUAUAAUUUAUUUUUGAUUUCCUAGAUAGUGUUCUAUAGUUCUAAUUUCCGAAAUUCUCUUCUCUCUGAGUAUGUGUAUAUAUCUAUGGUACAGAGAAUAUGAUUAGAAUACCUAGGUUUAACGUACAUGGAUGCAAAACCAAACAAAAGUGCAUUUAAGGAAAAGCCAAACUUGGAUAAACCUGGCUUUCUUAUUUGAACCAUUUGUUGGAGUUUCAAACUAUGUGUUUUCAAACUUGUUCAUUAAUGAACCACACACAACCCACCAAAUUAAUGUGAUGAUGUUCAGGAUGAAAAGAAUAAGAAAGUAUAGCUCUUUAAUAGCACAAAUCCAGUGGUUUUCAAGCCAGUGGUAUUUCACCUACCUAUUGGUUAAUUUACUAUCUUCUUAUUGAUUUCACUUCAUCAUUCAUGGUGGUCCCUGUGGCCUUACAUAUUUGUAGGUGGAGCUAAUUAUCUGUUUAAAUACUUUAAUGCUAUGGUAAAUAAUUUAUAUUAUGCAUAUUGUAAAUAUAUACUAAAGCUCAAGGGCACAUUGUAAUAAUAACCAAACAUUUUCUAGACUUCUGCAAGUACCACUAUAAGCCUGUUUAUACAGAUAACCAAAAUAGUUGCUCCAAGAAUGAACACCAUAAAUUUAAAUGAAAGCGAAGGUUACGUAUCUUUUUUGGCAUCCUAUACACAUAUGACCAAAUGACUGAAACAUGGGCACUCUUAAGGAUAUAGACAAUUAUGUUUUCAUCCAUAGCCAUGUGCUUUGCAUAUGUUGGAGAAUAUGAAAACUGUUUUAUGUCCACCUAUGCAAACAGAGCUUCCCUGGUGCUCCUUGGGAUCCAGUUGUACGCACGCAAGCCCAUACCUUCAGAAAAAGCUUGGCUCCCAGCCCAGGGCUCAGCUGAUCCUCCAAGCACAGACUCCUCCUUCCAAGGACCUGUGAGGUUUGCUCAGAGAGUCAGACACAUUUGCAAACCUACUGAGGACGGUCAUUCAUUCUUUUCCCCCCAAAGGCUCCCUGCAGAUGUGUAAGAGAGAAAAUCAAUCCUAUGGCCAUUCAAUGCUCUAAAUGUAAAGCUGCUUGAAGAAGGAGUGGUUGUUUUUCCCCAAAAUUUUAGAGCAGAGGAGCAGGUUUAACAUCGGCCUUGGCUGCAAGUUUUCCUAUCAUUUCCUUUCAUUUAUGUAUUUUUAUUUCAAAGGAGACUAUUAAAUCAAGUACAUUUUGCUUAAAAUAUUCUGCUUAGUUUAGAAAAGGACAGAAUAAUAUUUUUUCUUGUCCAUUAUGAGGGGUGGAGAAGUGGGGGUGCCAAAACUCCUCAGUACCCUGUUUCUGAUAUAAGGAGAUAGAUUCAUGAAUUACUGGAGUUGUGUCAUACUUAAAACACACAGAGACAGAAACUUAGGGGAGCUGCAUUGCAGAGUCCUAUGGAAAGCUGUUAAUGGGAUCUUCCAUUAGGGGGUCACCACUUAGAUGAGAGAGGGCAACUAGCUUGUUUCUCUGAUAGUAUCCUAAUCUGUAAAAUCAAAUCUGUGUUGACUGGAGGAAUUGAACUAAUGAUCUUGGUUGAAUCUCUAUUCCCCACAUCUUUCAGAACCAGCAAAGCACUGGAUAGAACCUAACAAACAAAACGAUUGAUCCAAAUAAAAUCGACAUGCUGAAACAGUAUCAGCACUACUCUCAAAGCUCGUAAAGACCCAGUCGAUUAGGACACCUGGGGACUCCUAGUGCAGCUUGCCAGGGAUUAUCAAGCUCCUCUUACAUCCAGAUUGGAUGCUUUGAAUGUGGUGUCACCAUAGAGAGAGGAGUCUGAAUUUUGCAGGUACCAACCCUGAGUGGUGAUCUACUGGGGCCUUGCUCAUGUUCCUUUUUCCUGACCUCAUUCAAGUGCUUAAUGACUUGGGUCAGUUUGUUGCACAAUGAUGUAUACCAAGUGACACCCACUGAAAUUACCUCUUCUCCUUUCCCUUGUACAUAAGUGUAAUGUCAAAUUGUUUACAGGUUCUUUUUGUGUGUAAUUGUGAUAGCAGAUUUAGCUCCAACUUUACAGGAAUCUGUUUACUGGAUGGUGUUAAAACGAAUGUGCUUAUUACAGUAUAAACAUCAUUAAUUAUGGACUCACAUGAAUGCAUGUCUACAUGUCGUCAAUUCCCAGCAGCUCGGUUAUCCAGCAAGAAGUCUGCAGUCUGUGAAUAGCAAAUAUGCAUAAACUACUAUACUCUAAUAACUCAGUAACUGUUUUUACCUUGAUAUGUAACACUGUAGAUUUUAGCCUGCUGUAUUUCUUUCUUACUUAAUUUGUUUUUUUGCGAGAGAAACAUGAUAAAAGAUAGUACUACUAAUUGUCCCAAUGGAAUUGCACACCGUGUUGGCAAUCAUUGGUCCACCCUAAAGGCACCUGCCUGUAGGUGGGACAAUGGCCCUGAGCAACAUAUAAAUAUAUACAUACAUAUCUAUGUAUGCGAUAUCUAUGAUGCUAAUUACUAUCAUCUAUUCUCACUGCCAAUGGAAACAAACUAUUUUCUUUGGAAUCAUUGAUGGAUAUAAAAAGUUAAUUUGCUAUUAACUGCUUUCAUAUUCUGUUUAGUUCUUAGAGUGUGGUAAAUGAUACAGGUGCAGUAUCAGUAUUGUAAAAUUGUGUGGUGAAAACUACAAAAGUCAUUCUGUGGAUAUAUUUUAAAAAGGCAGAUCAGAAACUAUAUUUCAGAUUCUUGUGUGAAUAUAAUUACAGAAAUAGGUAACUAUUUUUUAUGUGUUCCAUAAAUGACUCCAUUUCAUAUACAUUGUAAUUUAGCACCAAUCAUAAUAAAUCAUUUGGU